Molecule: ribosomal RNA, 275 nt
Filed under: uncultured bacterium
Lineage: Bacteria
Description: partial 16S ribosomal RNA
Rfam family: Bacterial small subunit ribosomal RNA
Source: RNAcentral
CAAACUGAAGAUGGCGACCGGCGCACGGGUGAGUAACACGUAUCCAACCUGCCGAUAACUCUGGAAUAGCCUUUCGAAAGAAAGAUUAAUACCGGAUAGUAUACGAAUAUCGCAUGAUAUUUUUAUUAAAGAAUUUCGGUUAUCGAUGGGGAUGCGUUCCAUUAGUUUGUUGGCGGGGUAACGGCCCACCAAGACUACGAUGGAUAGGGGUUCUGAGAGGAAGGUCCCCCACAUUGGAACUGAGACACGGUCCAAACUCCUACGGAGGCAGCAUG